AGUGCCGGUUGGGAACCGGCCUGACAAGCCUUUCUUACCAGCACUAGUAUGUAUUCAGGCAGUACUAAUGGAGGGUGGAAUUCAUAUGUUAGCUUCAAGUCAGCUUGGUUAAAACGCAAAACAAAAGGGUGUGGCUUAACUAUAACAAAAAGAAACUCAUCUAAAUAGAAUUUUCAAGCACAAUAGUGUGUGCUUGAUGGAGGGAGGCUAGCUAGCCCAGUGACAAGAGAGUACUCAUACAUGUGAAAAAGAAUUUACCCAGCAUGAGAAAACUUAGCCCAUGUAACCAAUUAGUGUUGUUCCAUGCGCAGUCUACCCCACAGCCACGUUGCGAUGCAUCCUCUCUGCAGGAUCUGAGCGUAAGAACGUUGCCUCACAAGCGCACACGCUCAAUUACGAGUAAAUCACGCUUACACCGUGCCUGCUACAACCACCGCCCGUGUAUCCCUUCGAUUUGGCAUUUUAUCAAACUUGAACCGAAACAACCUCAGCAUGACAGAAACACUUUCCUGCUGC
RNAcentral lists this long non-coding RNA (516 nucleotides) under Oryza brachyantha (malo sina). Its description in RNAcentral is "long non-coding RNA (OBRA_LNC000949)". The record is from RNAcentral. Lineage: Eukaryota; Viridiplantae; Streptophyta; Magnoliopsida; Poales; Poaceae.